RNAcentral lists this unclassified non-coding RNA (1591 nucleotides) under Hevea brasiliensis (rubber tree). The record is from RNAcentral. Lineage: Eukaryota; Viridiplantae; Streptophyta; Magnoliopsida; Malpighiales; Euphorbiaceae.
CCCCCCCCCCCCCCCCCUCUCUAGCUAUGCUACAUAACCCUGCCCUUUUAUCUGCUUCUAGUGAAGACAGUAAGCAUAGUUACAAAAAUAAUCAUAGACUGAUGAAUUAGAAAGUGGACUAAUUCAAAUUUCAAAGCACCUUUGUUCACUGCCUGUUGUGAUCCAAGCAAAAACUCUGCUAUGUGUUCAGUUAUUUUGAUAUACAUUGCCAAAUGCCAAGCACAAUGAUCGAUGUGUUGCCUAGGGACUUUUAAGUUUAGAAGCAAUAAUCAGGUUUAGUGGAGGAUGGAGCAGUUUCCCACCUUGUCCAUUAUAAAGUUUGUAGAAUAAGAGCAGUCAGACAAACAUGGCACUUGAAGAAUUUAAAAAACAGAGGCAUAAUUACAUUAAUUUCUUGGUUUCAUCUUCUUUCGAGCCUGAAUUCACUUGAUCUUUUCCAUGGUUUUGGGACGUUUGAAAUUUUGUUAUUUCUUUUCUGAUUUUCUUUAAAGUGACGGAUAGUUGUCUCCUAUAAUUCUCAUAAAGAUUAGUCCGUCAUCUUCUUUUAUACAAUUGUAAAUAAUAAACACACUUAUGUAAAAAGACUUUCAGCAUAUGCUACUAACCAGAACUCUACUAAAAUAAGAAUAGAAUCAUUCAUACAACCUACCAAAUAGUCAGAACAAUAUCCACUAUGUAUGAUCAAUGGACAAUAAAAAGAAUGGCUAGAGUAAGCAAAAUGAAAUUCAGAAAUCCAUGGGAAAAAGCAAAGAAAUGAAGGAACAAAAAAUGGGAUUUUAAAUUGAUACCUGUAAUUUUGGCCGUAAAGCUUCAAGAGGACCUUUAGGUUUCUCAACACCUUGCUGUCAUUUUUGGGAAAAGAAAAAAAAAUGCAUAUAUACAUGCGGAAUGAUAUUAGGUAACCAUGUAAUGAGAAGUCCCCCAAACUUGUCCAUCUAAAGUAAAUAACAGAUCAGUGCCAAUACCUUUCCAAGUGCCCAAUCGGCAGAAUCAAAGUAAGCUCGUUCAUGGUCCUUAGAAAUGAGUGGUGGUUUCUUGGGCAAGAUUCCUCCAUAUUUUUUCUUCACAACUUCUUCCUCCUCUUUCGAUGAGGGCAUGGAACUUUUAUCCUCGGGGACAUUUCCAUCCACGUGCUCUUGCUCUUUGACACUCUCCACGCCUGACAUUAUGUCCUUCUACAGCAUUUCCAGCCAAAACAAGUAAUUUAAAUUCGUUACCAUAUUAGCACACAAAUAACAAUGAUAAUAAUAAUGGAAGUUUAGCCAAAUUAAUUCCCGCCCAUAAUUUUUUCCCUUCCCUUAUCCCAGAGGAGGAAAUCCAUAAAUGACUUGAUUAAUUAGACCAAAUUUUCUUAAAUUCACUUUCGAGGGCUAAGAUUCUGCUAGAUCUAAAUGAAAAUAAACACCAAAAUUCCUCAAUCCAAACAUGAUAUAUAUAAACAGAAUUAAGUAAAAGAGGGGGAAAAAAAGAUCAAGAUAAUCGAUGGAAAGGAACAGAUUCAAUGAUUGGUAUCGAAUACAGCAUAGCUCCGUACCUCGGAUCAAAGUUCCCAAAGAAAGAAAACAAAAUUUGGAGAGAGAGAGAGAGAGAG